CCCAGGGACCACACUUCUGCUGGUCCCUCCUCCACCUCCAGACAGGGAACCACCCAUGCCAGUGUGGGGGCCACCUUGGAGUCCACGGUUAUGACAAGGCGAGGCCAGGAUGAGAGACACAUUUCAGAACCUCGAGGUCAGGAACCACGACGUAGCCAACGCUCAGGAACGACCUGUCCUCCGAGGGCCGGCUUCCGCUUUCCUGCAGCCAACACCUCCAUCACCUGCCUGAAGGUACGCAGCUAUUCCAGCAGGCUACCCGCUGAGCACGCAGGCGUCCAUCCUGCCAUCCGACCACCGUUCCACCUGUUCACCCACCAGCAUCCUCCAUCCAUCGUCCAUCGACCCAGGCAGCCUCCACCCGCCCACUGUGUGGUUCCUCUGUCUAUCCUUUGAUUUGUCUACACAGCCAUCCACUCCUUUGAAUCCCUAGUACCAGGCCCAAAGCCACCCGUGGGCAUGAAGCAAGGCCGGCUCAAAUGGCUUCUGGGUACUGUGGAAAAACCCAAGCCGGUUCCACGCGAGCAUUUUUGCGUUUUUGGUCACUGGCUUCGCAGCUUCCCCUCUAGGCACACUGGCCCUUCCCCUCCUGGGAGGUCAAAGGGCGGCGGGGUGGGGAAGCCUGGGCUUUGGGUUGGCCGUUUAUUCUCUGCGUGACCUUGGCCGUGGAACCAGUUGGUCCAUGUUGCAUGAUGCGAAGAGUCACAGCAGAUGCCUGGACCAAGCACCUGCCACAGCCAGACACCCACGGUAAUUAACCCGUGUUAUCGCCGGAAUGAAUCACCACUUACGUUGUCCAGGCUGCGUUGUCCAGUUGUGUCUGAUGGUCCCGGGAGGAAAGUUUGCUGUGGUUCCUAAAUGCCCAGUGGAUGAAAAAUCAUGUCUUUCUGCUGUUUUUCUGUCCCCCAGACCUUCCUUUUUCUAGCUGGCCGGGUCCCGUUUUCAACUGCGCAUGUCUUUUUUAUUUCAGCGGCA
This is a long non-coding RNA of Phacochoerus africanus (Common warthog), 975 nucleotides long. RefSeq lists it as uncharacterized. The transcript has 3 exons. Lineage: Eukaryota; Metazoa; Chordata; Mammalia; Artiodactyla; Suidae. The record is from RefSeq and is a predicted model, not a curated record.